AGAGCGAACGCUGGCGGCAGGCUUAACACAUGCAAGUCGAACGAGAAGCUACCUUCGGGUAGUGGAAAGUGGCAGACGGGUGAGUAACGCGUGGGAAUCUACCUAGUGGUACGGAAUAACUCAGGGAAACUUGGGCUAAUACCGUAUGUGCCCGUAAGGGGAAAGAUUUAUCGCCAUUAGAUGAGCCCGCGUCUGAUUAGCUAGUUGGUGGGGUAAAGGCCUACCAAGGCGACGAUCAGUAGCUGGUCUGAGAGGAUGAUCAGCCACACUGGGACUGAGACACGGCCCAGACUCCUACGGGAGGCAGCAGUGGGGAAUAUUGGACAAUGGGCGAAAGCCUGAUCCAGCAACGCCGCGUGAGGGAUGACGGCCUUCGGGUUGUAAACCUCUUUCAGCGCAGACGAAGCGAAAGUGACGGUAUGCGCAGAAGAAGCGACCGGCCAACUACGUGCCAGCAGCCGC
RNAcentral lists this ribosomal RNA (462 nucleotides) under uncultured bacterium. RNAcentral describes it as "SSU rRNA". It matches the Rfam family "Bacterial small subunit ribosomal RNA", at positions 26 to 518 of the family's 1533-position model. The record is from RNAcentral.